Molecule: unclassified non-coding RNA, 344 nt
Filed under: soil metagenome
Description: partial contains 5.8S ribosomal RNA, internal transcribed spacer 2, and large subunit ribosomal RNA
Rfam family: 5.8S ribosomal RNA (bases 1-120)
Source: RNAcentral
GAUGAAGAACGUAGCAAAAUGCGAUAAGUAAUGUGAAUUGCAGAAUUCAGUGAAUCAUCGAAUCUUUGAACGCACAUUGCGCCCGCCAGUAUUCUGGCGGGCAUGCCUGUUCGAGCGUCAUUUCAACCCUCAAGCCCUCGGGUUUGGUGUUGGGGAUCGGCGAGCCUUUCUGGCAAGCCGGCCCCGAAAUCUAGUGGCGGUCUCGCUGCAGCCUCCAUUGCGUAGUAGUAAAACCCUCGCAACUGGAACGCGGCGCGGCCAAGCCGUUAAACCCCCAACUUCUGAAUGUUGACCUCGGAUCAGGUAGGAAUACCCGCUGAACUUAAGCAUAUCAUAAGCGGAGA